RNAcentral lists this ribosomal RNA (468 nucleotides) under uncultured bacterium. Its description in RNAcentral is "partial 16S ribosomal RNA". It matches the Rfam family "Bacterial small subunit ribosomal RNA", at positions 28 to 507 of the family's 1533-position model. The record is from RNAcentral.
GACGAACGCUGGCGGCGUGCUUAACACAUGCAAGUCGAACGGAAAGGCCCUGCUUUUGUGGGGUGCUCGAGUGGCGAACGGGUGAGUAACACGUGAGUAACCUGCCCUUGACUUUGGGAUAACUUCAGGAAACUGGGGCUAAUACCGGAUAGGAGCUCCUGCUGCAUGGUGGGGGUUGGAAAGUUUCGGCGGUUGGGGAUGGACUCGCGGCUUAUCAGCUUGUUGGUGGGGUAGUGGCUUACCAAGGCUUUGACGGGUAGCCGGCCUGAGAGGGUGACCGGCAACAUUGGGACUGAGAUACGGCACAGACUCCUACGGGAGGCAGCAGUGGGGAAUAUUGCACAAUGGGCGGAAGCCUGAUGCAGCAGCGCCGCGUGCGGGAUGACGGCCUUCGGGUUGUAAACCGCUUUCGCCUGUGACGAAGCGUGAGUGACGGUAAUGGGUAAAGAAGCACCGGCUAACUACGUG